This 465-nucleotide ribosomal RNA is filed under the name Vreelandella stevensii. RNAcentral describes it as "partial 16S ribosomal RNA". It matches the Rfam family "Bacterial small subunit ribosomal RNA", at positions 338 to 795 of the family's 1533-position model. The record is from RNAcentral. Lineage: Bacteria; Pseudomonadati; Pseudomonadota; Gammaproteobacteria; Oceanospirillales; Halomonadaceae.
CCUACGGGGUGCUGCAGUGGGGAAUAUUGGACAAUGGGCGAAAGCCUGAUCCAGCCAUGCCGCGUGUGUGAAGAAGGCCUUCGGGUUGUAAAGCACUUUCAGUGGGGAAGAAAGCCUUGGGGCUAAUACCCUCGAGGAAGGACAUCACCCACAGAAGAAGCACCGGCUAACUCCGUGCCAGCAGCCGCGGUAAUACGGAGGGUGCGAGCGUUAAUCGGAAUUACUGGGCGUAAAGCGCGCGUAGGCGGUCUGAUAAGCCGGUUGGGAAAGCCCCGGGCUCAACCUGGGAACGGCAUCCGGAACUGUCAGGCUAGAGUGAAGGAGAGGAAGGUAGAAUUCCCGGUGUAGCGGUGAAAUGCGUAGAGAUCGGGAGGAAUACCAGUGGCGAAGGCGGCCUUCUGGACUGACACUGACGCUGAGGUGCGAAAGCGUGGGUAGCAAACAGGAUUAGAUACCCCGGUAGUC